Long non-coding RNA from Salvelinus fontinalis (brook trout), 196 nucleotides. RefSeq lists it as uncharacterized. The record is from RefSeq and is a predicted model, not a curated record. Lineage: Eukaryota; Metazoa; Chordata; Actinopteri; Salmoniformes; Salmonidae. The transcript has 2 exons.
UACUCAGCUGGGCCAGAGCGCUUUAAUUAGGUCAGGUGGCAAUGACCGACAGAUCUCAUCCACAUAAAAGGAGGAAAACGGCAUCGCCUGAUCUCGCUGCUUUCUCUUCCUUAACUCCGUCUGCUCCAGAAGUUCUGUGCGUCCAUGAAUCCACCACAGACUACUCAGUAAAUAUACCACUUUAUGGUUAAAGGAA